GAUGAACGCUGGCGGCGUGCUUAACACAUGCAAGUCGAGCGGAUGUAGCAAUACAUCAGCGGCAAACGGGUGCGUAACACGUAAGUAAUCUUCCCCUAAGACCGGCACAACCAGCCGAAAGGUUGGCUAAUACCGGAUGUGGUAGUUGGGACUGACGUCCCGAUUACUAAACGGAACGCAAGAACCGCUUAGGGAUGAGCUUGCGGCCUAUCAGCUAGUUGGUGGGGUAAUGGCCUACCAAGGCGAUGACGGGUAGCUGGUCUGAGAGGACGACCAGCCACACUCGCACUGAGAUACGGGCGAGACACCUACGGGAGGCUG
This 321-nucleotide ribosomal RNA is filed under the name uncultured bacterium. RNAcentral's name for it is "bacterial SSU rRNA". It matches the Rfam family "Bacterial small subunit ribosomal RNA", at positions 28 to 351 of the family's 1533-position model. The record is from RNAcentral.